UGUAUGCACUUGAAUUCAUUUGGAACCUCAGGGUAUAAAUCAGUAUGGAAUGUUUGGUUUAAGAAUACAUAUCAUGAGAAAAAUUAAGUUAUUCCUAGAUGGUAAUUCCCUAACUAUCAAGAACAAACAAUACAUAUUUUUUUCCUUCUGACAGGAUAAGUAAGCGAAUAGAUUAAUGCAAUGACUACUACUUCGAUUGUAGUAGACAAUGCUGUUGGUUAAACCCCUGGACUGGCUAAGUAUAUCCAUUAGAUUGGUUGGAUUAAGUAGUAUAAGAUAAGGUUGUUUGACAAGUUAUUAGAGGAAAGGUAUUUGUUCAAUCAUUUGUUAUCCUAUUAAAUGGCUCCUUAAGAAUAUAAUCGGAAGGAAAACAUAUAUGCUACUAGUGUACGAUGAGUAAUACUUGUUUGACAAACACUGCAAAAAACUUUAGAAAGAAAAAACAGGAUGAUAUGCGUUGGUUGAAGGGAUAAAUUUGGCAGUGAAGAAAGGAUGAACUCAAGCAGGGCCGUGCCAAGGUGAUGAUGUAUCAAAAACCAUACUAUUUGUUUUAUGUAUGAGUAUGUUUAAUUUGACCCAGUUAUAACCCUCAUCUACAAGUGAUGCAUGCAUAUAAUCAGGAUUUUGAAAAGAAAAGAAGAUCUUAAAGCAUACAAUAAGAAAGAAGAUCUUCUUUUAACUAAAACUAGAUAUUAUUUUGUGCAGCCUUUUCUAUGGCAUCAUAGAUUUAAGCAUGAUCAAUAUCUUUUUCCUUUUUAUCUUUGGAAGUGCUUUAUGUGAUUUCCCUUUUUGAAGUUCUAAUUUUUGUCAGAAAAACAAUAUGUUGAUGCCGCUGACUCGUGGCAGAUUACCACUAAGCUUUAGUUUUUUCCCCCCUAUGGAUGCAAAAAUUAGAUACUGGGGUUGGACUCAAUAGUGGCCUUUACACCAUGCAGCCAUUAUUUUCCCCAGUUGUUAAUUACAACACAGAGUUUCCGCAGCUUGAAUCAGGUCACAAAGCUCAAAUUCCUGUGGACCUCCAAACUUGGUCUAUACUCUCACGUACAUGGACUUUAGCUAUUGCCUUCAGCACCUACUGCAGUCAACUAUGGCCCUUUGGAAGUUCAUGAUCACUCCACAUCAGUCUAUGUGUACUCAUCUUGAUAUUCGGUGCCUCCAUAUCCUGGAAUGUCUUUCCCUCAUCCUAAUUUACACAUUCAAACUUCUGUGCAGAAAAUCGGAAAGUUCCCCCUCGAAUGUAGAGGUCGCUGGGACAUAUGCUUGAACCCAAUUGCUGAAUUUAGACUUGCGCAUCCCAACGCAAGGUUUGAAUUGGACUUGCCUGCACCCGUCGUUAGGAGCUCCGAGCUCGAUAAUACGUUGCCACAAUUCCUAGAAUCAAAGGCUUCCUGGCUAGACCAUCAGGCGAAUGGGAAAGAGGUUCUUGAUGCUGGUCACAAGCCCAAAUGGUGAAAUAAUCACGAGAGAACAAAAGCAGCAGAGGAGCCACCAGGUUGUUCCUUCCAGCUAGAUUUUGAUAACACUGAAUCCUAACAUCCCUUUUGAAAAAAGAGUCAGUUGUAGAGCAUCUUCUUCGCAGGCAUACCGAAGACAGAAAGAGGAAGAGAUGUUGACGGUGUCGGAAUCGUCAUCAGCUUGGAAUAAAGUGGCAUGACCUUCAGAGCACUUCAUUCUUUAUCAAGCUACCUCUUCGUGCGCUCCAAGUUACAGGAAGAGAGGCAACGACUGCUAGUAAACAAGAAUGGCAGCUGAGAAAGCAGUUGCAGUAAGCAUGACGGGAAAGGGGAUGCUGUGGCUGCUUGCAGCAUUGUGUCGAUGGUUGUGACCCCCGCCGUCGUUCCUUGGGUGGCCUGCUGCUGCAGCUCCAAGAAUCGGAAUCACUGCUCCGGUACCUGAAUCAGCUGCGGUACCUGAAUCGCCACCUCCGUGCCCUUGGCCACCGCUGCUGCCACCACCGUGCCCUUGGCCACCGCUGCUGCCACCACCACGACGGGAUAAUCUGCUUCCUCUGCCACCACCUCCUGUCUCUGCCGCUGCCGCUGCCGCUGCAAAGUUUCAAGCCAAAUGUUUGCCACAUCUUCCUAUGAGAACAUCCACAACACAUUUGCAAUCAUCGACUCCACAAGCCCCAAGAAGAAUGUAGAGGCAAGAAACAACCAAAGAAAGCCUAUGCGUCAAGCAAACUACCGAAGUCGAUGGGUUCGCCGGACUGCAGCUGGCAGACAAAAUAGGUGACGAGGAGGAAGAGAAGUCGAGGCUUCAUCUUUUCCAUUGCUGCCACUGUGAAGAUCUUUCACUGUUCUUCUUUAGACAGGAGAUGAUGAUAAUAACAUAAAGAAAUGGACGCCGCCACCGCCUCUCUACACCCAGAAACCACGAUUCCCACGCCACUUCGUCCAGGCUUUGUACCUUCCACACGUCGUAAAGGUGAUGCCUUUUCCUCUGUGAUUGAGAGAGAGAGGAUGAACGAUUGAGGUCAUGAGUGGAUUGGUGUACGAUAGAGAAAAUUCUUGCUCAACUUAUUGUAUCAAACCGUGGAUUCAUUGCGUGUUGAUUAAAGUUCAUCCUCCCAGCUGCU
This is a non-coding RNA of Musa acuminata subsp. malaccensis (wild Malaysian banana), 2578 nucleotides long. NCBI's taxonomy places the organism in Eukaryota, Viridiplantae, Streptophyta, Magnoliopsida, Zingiberales, Musaceae. The record is from RefSeq and is a predicted model, not a curated record.